Small nuclear RNA from Cricetulus griseus (Chinese hamster), 108 nucleotides. The record is from Ensembl. Lineage: Eukaryota; Metazoa; Chordata; Mammalia; Rodentia; Cricetidae.
GUACUCUCUUCGGCAGCACAUAUGCUAAAAAAUGGAAUGAUACAGAGAAGAUUAGCAUGGACCCUAUGCAAAUAUGACAUGCAAAUCUGUGAAGCCUUCCAUAUAAAA